RNAcentral lists this ribosomal RNA (253 nucleotides) under uncultured bacterium. RNAcentral describes it as "partial 16S ribosomal RNA". It matches the Rfam family "Bacterial small subunit ribosomal RNA", at positions 524 to 776 of the family's 1533-position model. The record is from RNAcentral.
UACGAGUGGCCCAAGCGUUAUCCGGAAUUAUUGGGCGUAAAGGGUGUGUAGGUGGUCGUAUUAGUCCGGUGUCUAACCUCUGAGCUCAACUUGGAGACAGCAUUGGAAACGGUACGGCUAGAGUAUGUUAGGGGUAAGCGGAACUCAUAGUGUAGGGGUGAAAUCCGUUGAUAUUAUGGGGAACACCAAAAGCGAAGGCAGCUUACUGGAACAUUACUGACGCUGAGGAGCGAAAGCGUGGGGAGCGAACAGG